GCCUUGGUAGCUCAGUCGAUAGGGCAUGAGACUCUUAAUCUCAGGGUCGUGGGUUCAAGCCCUAUGUUGGACA
Molecule: non-coding RNA, 73 nt
Organism: Podarcis lilfordi (Lilford's wall lizard)
Lineage: Eukaryota; Metazoa; Chordata; Lepidosauria; Squamata; Lacertidae
Source: the annotation of a GenBank genome assembly